GAGUUUGAUCGUGGCUCAGAUUGAACGCUGGCGGCAGGCCUAACACAUGCAAGUCGAGCGGUAGAGAGAAGCUUGCUUCUCUUGAGAGGCGGCGGACGGGUGAGUAAUGCCUAGGAAUCUGCCUGGUAGGUGGGGGAUAACGCUCGGAAACGGACGCUAAUACCGCAUACGUCCUACGGGAGAAAGCGAGGGGACCUUCGGGCCUUGCGCUAUCAGAUGAGCCUAGGUCGGAUUAGCUAGUUGGUGAGGUAAUGGCUCACCAAGGCGACGAUCCGUAACUGGUCUGAGAGGAUGAUCAGUCACACUGGAACUGAGACACGGUCCAGACUCCUACGGGAGGCAGCAGUGGGGAAUAUUGGACAAGUGGGCGAAAGCCUGAUCCAGCCAUGCCGCGUGUGUGAAGAAGGUCUUCGGAUUGUAAAGCACUUUAAGUUGGGAGGAAGGGC
This 446-nucleotide ribosomal RNA is filed under the name uncultured bacterium. RNAcentral's name for it is "bacterial SSU rRNA". It matches the Rfam family "Bacterial small subunit ribosomal RNA", at positions 9 to 453 of the family's 1533-position model. The record is from RNAcentral.